RNAcentral lists this transfer RNA (75 nucleotides) under Subdoligranulum sp. CAG:314. It matches the Rfam family "tRNA". From Rfam's summary of the family: Transfer RNA (tRNA) molecules are approximately 80 nucleotides in length. The record is from Rfam by way of RNAcentral. Lineage: Bacteria; Bacillati; Bacillota; Clostridia; Eubacteriales; Oscillospiraceae.
CGCGGGGUAGAGCAGCCUGGUAGCUCGUCGGGCUCAUAACCCGGAGGUCGAGUGGUUCAAAUCCCUCCCCCGCAA